Long non-coding RNA from Sardina pilchardus (European sardine), 585 nucleotides. RefSeq lists it as uncharacterized. Lineage: Eukaryota; Metazoa; Chordata; Actinopteri; Clupeiformes; Clupeidae. The transcript is spliced from 2 exons. The record is from RefSeq and is a predicted model, not a curated record.
AAUUUGCUGAUAGGUAACUUAGUGUAGUGUUUUUUUUAUAUUGGCGUUCAUACUGGUUGAGUAAAUGGCUACGAAGGACAACAUUUCCCCACCUCGACUGCCAUGAGAAGAAACGUUACUUUGAAAAAAUAGCAUCGUUAGGCUGUGAUCCCUACUCAUUACCUGAGGCGGUCUUCCAGCCUCUGUCCGCUGCUACCGAGCUAGCUGCUACCACUGUCAUUUAACGAUAUGUAUACCUAAUUCAUAAUCCGUCGCCGUACACUGGUGAAAGCCUCAAAGCAUACAAGAGUACCGAGGCAUAUCGGUACUUUGUCGCAGGCUGGGUCCUUGACCCGAAAAUCUGGCACCUUAACAAGAAGAAGAUGUUCCUCGUGAAAGGAAAGAUGGGGAAAUGUGAGUGAGCCAACAGCAAGAACACAGUUCACAGCAUUGCAAGAUCAUCACCACACCGAUUUUCAAGUAGAGACAACAGGCCUGAUCAUCAGCACAUCACUGCCAUGGAUCGGUGCAUCGCCGGAUGGAAUUGUGACCUGUGCUUGCCACGGUAGAGGUGUGCUUGAAAUAAAAUGCCCUUUUAGUCUUAAA